GGUUAAGCUAAAAAGAGCGCAGGGUGGAUGCCUUGGCACUAAGAGCCGAUGAAAGACGUGAUAAGCUGCGAAAAGCUUCGGGGAGGAGCAAAUAUCCUUUGAUCCGGAGAUAUCUGAAUGGGGAAACCUGGCUGAGCAAACCUCAGUCGGCGUAUGGUGAAUCCAUAGCCAUACGUUGGGAACCCGCUGAACUGAAACAUCUAAGUAGGCGGAGGAAAAGAAAGAAAACUCGAUUUCCAGAGUAGCGGCGAGCGAAAUGGAAGGAGCCUAAACCUGGGUGCGUGCACCCAGGGGUUAUGGACUGCAGUAAGUGACUCGUAUGGUAACAGAACGGUCCUGGAAAGACCGGCCACAGAGGGUGAAAGCCCCGUAUGUGAAACCAGAAGAGAGCGGGCAUGUUCCAAAGUACCACGAGACACGAGAAACCUUGUGGGAAGUCGGGGGGACCACCCCCCAAGGCUAAAUACUCCUUAGUGACCGAUAGCGCAUAGUACUGUGAAGGAAAGGUGAAAAGAACCCCGGGAGGGGAGUGAAAAAGAACCUGAAACCCUGUGUUUACAAACUGUGGAACCACAUUUUAGGUGGAACCGCGUACUUUUUGUAGAACGGUCCGGCGAGUUGCCGGGACUGGCAAGGUUAAGCACUCAAGGUGUGGAGCCGAAGGGAAACCAAGUCUUAAUAGGGCGCAGUGAUACCCUAAAGGGUAUCAAACAGUCAGUUCAGGCAGACCCGAAACCGGGUGAUCUACCCAUGUCCAGGUUGAAGUUUCCGUAAAAGGAAAUGGAGGACCGAACGCACAUCCGUUGAAAAGGGUGGCGAUGAGGUGUGGGUAGGGGAGAAAUUCCAAUCGAACCCGGAGAUAGCUGGUUCUCCUCGAAAUAGCUUUAGGGCUAGCCUCGUAUUAGUUUAGCGGAGGUAGAGCACUGAAUUCUUAAGGGGGCGUCAAAGCUUACCAAGAGAUAUCAAACUCCGAAUGCCGCAUAAAUGAUGUACGGGAGUCAGACUGCACGAGAUAAGUUGGGCAGUCAAAAGGGAAAGAGCCCAGACCACCAGCUAAGGUCCCAAAGUGCGUGUUAAGUGGAAAAGGAUGUGGGAUUUCGAAGACAACUAGGAUGUUGGCUCAGAAGCAGCCACACAUUCAAAGAGUGCGUAAUAGCUCACUAGUCGAGAGGUCCUGCGCCGAAAAUGUCCGGGGCUGAAACACGACACCGAAGCUGUGGAAUUGACUUAUGGUCAAUUGGUAGAGGAGCAUUCUUAACUGCGGCGAAGCGUUACCGUAAGGAGGCGUGGAGUGUUAAGAAGAGAGAAUGCCGGAAUGAGUAGCGAGAUGGAGGUGGGAAUCCUCCAGGCCGAAUAUCUAAGGUUUCCAGAGUAAAGCUGAUCUGCUCUGGGUAAGUCGGGGCCUAAGGCGAGGUCGAAAGACGUAGUCGAUGGACAACAGGUUGAAAUUCCUGUACCGCGUAUUAUCAGAACUGUGGGGACACAGAACCGAAGCCAAACCCGGGAAUGAAAAGACCGGGGCAAGCGCCGGACUGGUUAGACUGGCAAAUCCGUUUAACAACAGGAAAGCGUGACGCGUACCGAACAAAAGUAGGGAAGUUGGUAUAGGGGCUGUCAAGAAAAGCCGCUAUUGUGUAAUACGUGCCCGUACCGUAAACCGACACAGGUGGAUGAGGAGAGAAUCCUAAGGCCGGCGGGAGAAGCAUUGUUAAGGAACUCGGCAAAAUGACCCUGUAACUUCGGGAUAAAGGGUGCCCACGAGAGUGGGCCGCAGAGAAUAGGCUCAAGCAACUGUUUAGCAAAAACACAGGUCUAUGCAAAACCGAAAGGUGAGGUAUAUGGGCUGACGCCUGCCCGGUGCUGGAAGGUUAAGAGGAGAGGUUAGGAGCAAUCCGAAGCUUUGAAUUUAAGCCCCAGUAAACGGCGGCCGUAACUAUAACGGUCCUAAGGUAGCGAAAUUCCUUGUCGGGUAAGUUCCGACCCGCACGAAAG
Molecule: ribosomal RNA, 1992 nt
Filed under: Staphylococcus aureus
Lineage: Bacteria; Bacillati; Bacillota; Bacilli; Caryophanales; Staphylococcaceae
Description: partial 23S ribosomal RNA
Rfam family: Bacterial large subunit ribosomal RNA
Source: RNAcentral